Molecule: transfer RNA, 73 nt
Filed under: Camelus bactrianus (Bactrian camel)
Lineage: Eukaryota; Metazoa; Chordata; Mammalia; Artiodactyla; Camelidae
Also listed under: 2 other names
Rfam family: tRNA
About the family: Transfer RNA (tRNA) molecules are approximately 80 nucleotides in length. Their secondary structure includes four short double-helical elements and three loops (D, anti-codon, and T loops).
Source: Rfam by way of RNAcentral
GAGGGUAUGGCUCAAGUGGUAGAGUGCAUGCUUAGCAUGCAUGAAGUCCUGGAUUCAAUGCCCAGUACCUUCU